GAUGAACGCUAGCUACAGGCUUAACACAUGCAAGUCGAGGGGCAGCAUUUCAGUUUGCUUGCAAACUGGAGAUGGCGACCGGCGCACGGGUGAGUAACACGUAUCCAACCUGCCGAUAACUCGGGGAUAGCCUUUCGAAAGAAAGAUUAAUACCCGAUGGUAUAAUCAGACCGCAUGGUCUUGUUAUUAAAGAAUUUCGGUUAUCGAUGGGGGUGCGUUCCAUUAGGCAGUUGGUGAGGUAACGGCUCACCAAACCUUCGAUGGAUAGGGGUUCUGAGAGGAAGGUCCCCCACAUUGGAACUGAGACACGGUCCAAACUCCUACGGGAGGCAGCAGUGAGGAAUAUUGGUCAAUGGGCGCAGGCCUGAACCAGCCAAGUAGCGUGAAGGAUGACUGCCCUAUGGGUUGUAAACUUCUUUUAUAUGGGAAUAAAGUUUUCCACGUGUGGAAUUUUGUAUGUACCAUAUGAAUAAGGAUCGGCUAACUCCGUGCCAGCAGCCGCGGUAAUACGGAGGAUCCGAGCGUUAUCCGGAUUUAUUGGGUUUAAAGGGAGCGUAGGUGGACAGUUAAGUCAGUUGUGAAAGUUUGCGGCUCAACCGUAAAAUUGCAGUUGAUACUGGCUGUCUUGAGUACAGUAGAGGUGGGCGGAAUUCGUGGUGUAGCGGUGAAAUGCUUAGAAAUCACGAAGAACUCCGAUUGCGAAGGCAGCUCACUGGACUGCAACUGACACUGAUGCUCGAAAGUGUGGGUAUCAAACAGGAUUAGAUACCCUGGUAGUCCACACAGUAAACGAUGAAUACUCGCUGUUUGCGAUAUACAGUAAGCGGCCAAGCGAAAGCAUUAAGUAUUCCGCCUGGGGAGUACGCCGGCAACGGUGAAACUCAAAGGAAUUGACGGGGGCCCGCACAAGCGGAGGAACAUGUGGUUUAAUUCGAUGAUACGCGAGGAACCUUACCCGGGCUUAAAUUGCAUUUGAAUAUAUUGGAAACAGUAUAGCCGUAAGGCAAAUGUGAAGGUGCUGCAUGGUUGUCGUCAGCUCGUGCCGUGAGGUGUCGGCUUAAGUGCCAUAACGAGCGCAACCCUUAUCUUUAGUUACUAACAGGUCAUGCUGAGGACUCUAGAGAGACUGCCGUCGUAAGAUGUGAGGAAGGUGGGGAUGACGUCAAAUCAGCACGGCCCUUACGUCCGGGGCUACACACGUGUUACAAUGGGGGGUACAGAAGGCAGCUACCUGGUGACAGGAUGCUAAUCCCAAAAGCCUCUCUCAGUUCGGAUCGAAGUCUGCAACCCGACUUCGUGAAGCUGGAUUCGCUAGUAAUCGCGCAUCAGCCAUGGCGCGGUGAAUACGUUCCCGGGCCU
Molecule: ribosomal RNA, 1359 nt
Filed under: uncultured bacterium
Lineage: Bacteria
Description: bacterial SSU rRNA
Rfam family: Bacterial small subunit ribosomal RNA
Source: RNAcentral